This 468-nucleotide ribosomal RNA is filed under the name uncultured bacterium. RNAcentral's name for it is "partial 16S ribosomal RNA". It matches the Rfam family "Bacterial small subunit ribosomal RNA", at positions 28 to 507 of the family's 1533-position model. The record is from RNAcentral.
GACGAACGCUGGCGGCGUGCUUAACACAUGCAAGUCGAACGGAAAGGCCCUGCUUUUGUGGGGUGCUCGAGUGGCGAACGGGUGAGUAACACGUGAGUAACCUGCCCUUGACUUUGGGAUAACUUCAGGAAACUGGGGCUAAUACCGGAUAGGAGCUCCUGCUGCGUGGUGGGGGUUGGAAAGUUUCGGCGGUUGGGGAUGGACUCGCGGCUUAUCAGCUUGUUGGUGGGGUAGUGGCUUACCAAGGCUUUGACGGGUAGCCGGCCGGAGAGGGUGACCGGCCACAUUGGGACUGAGAUACGGCCCAGACUCCUACGGGAGGCAGCAGUGGGGAAUAUUGCACAAUGGGCGGAAGCCUGAUGCAGCAACGCCGCGUGCGGGAUGACGGCCUUCGGGUUGUAAACCGCUUUCGCCUGUGACGAAGCGUGAGUGACGGUAAUGGGUAAAGAAGCACCGGCUAACUACGUG